Molecule: ribosomal RNA, 466 nt
Filed under: uncultured bacterium
Lineage: Bacteria
Description: partial 16S ribosomal RNA
Rfam family: Bacterial small subunit ribosomal RNA
Source: RNAcentral
GAUGAACGCUGGCGGCGUGCUUAACACAUGCAAGUCGAACGGAAAGGCCCUUACUUGCAGGGGUACUCGAGUGGCGAACGGGUGAGUAACACGUGGGUGAUCUGCCCUGCACUUCGGGAUAAGCCUGGGAAACUGGGUCUAAUACCGGAUAGGACCAUCGUUUAGUGUCGGUGGUGGAAAGUUUUUUCGGUGUGGGAUGAGCUCGCGGCCUAUCAGCUUGUUGGUGGGGUAAUGGCCUACCAAGGCGUCGACGGGUAGCCGGCCUGAGAGGGUGUACGGCCACAUUGGGACUGAGAUACGGCCCAGACUCCUACGGGAGGCAGCAGUGGGGAAUAUUGCACAAUGGGCGCAAGCCUGAUGCAGCGACGCCGCGUGGGGGAUGACGGCCUUCGGGUUGUAAACUCCUUUCGUCAGGGACGAAGCGAAAGUGACGGUACCUGGAGAAGAAGCACCGGCUAACUACGUG